GACGAACGCUGGCGGCGUGCCUAAUACAUGCAAGUUGAGCGCUGAAGGUUGGUACUUGUACCAACUGGAUGAGCAGCGAACGGGUGAGUAACGCGUGGGGAAUCUGCCUUUGAGCGGGGGACAACAUUUGGAAACGAAUGCUAAUACCGCAUAAAAACUUUAAACACAAGUUUUAAGUUUGAAAGAUGCAAUUGCAUCACUCAAAGAUGAUCCCGCGUUGUAUUAGCUAGUUGGUGAGGUAAAGGCUCACCAAGGCGAUGAUACAUAGCCGACCUGAGAGGGUGAUCGGCCACAUUGGGACUGAGACACGGCCCAAACUCCUACGGGAGGCAGCAGUAGGGAAUCUUCGGCAAUAGACGAAAGUCUGACCGAGCAACGCCGCGUGAGUGAAGAAGGUUUUCGGAUCGUAAAACUCUGCUGGUAGAGAAGAACGUUGGUGAGAGUGGAAAGCUCAUCAAGUGACGGUAACUACCCAGAAAGGGACGGCUAACUACGUG
Molecule: ribosomal RNA, 497 nt
Filed under: uncultured bacterium
Lineage: Bacteria
Description: partial 16S ribosomal RNA
Rfam family: Bacterial small subunit ribosomal RNA
Source: RNAcentral